CAUGAAGUUGGAUUCGCUAGUAAUCGCGCAUCAGCCAUGGCGCGGUGAAUACGUUCCCGGGCCUUGUACACACCGCCCGUCAAGCCAUGGAAGCUGGGGGUGCCUGAAGUUCGUAACCGUAAGGAGCGACCUAAGGCAAAACUGGUGACUGGGGCUAAGUCGUAACAAGGUAGCCGUACCGGAAGGUGUGGCUGGAACACCUCCUUU
Molecule: ribosomal RNA, 207 nt
Filed under: Prevotellaceae bacterium
Lineage: Bacteria; Pseudomonadati; Bacteroidota; Bacteroidia; Bacteroidales; Prevotellaceae
Description: partial 16S ribosomal RNA
Rfam family: Bacterial small subunit ribosomal RNA
Source: RNAcentral